UAAUUUUCGAGGUUUGGAGUCUACUGAGUUGAGGUAUCUUCAGUGGCAUGGAUGUCCAUUAAAAUCAUUGUCUUCGAAAAUUCAUCCAGAGAAUCUUGUUUCGCUUGAAAUGCCUCAUAGCAGCAUUAAACAACUAUGGAAGGGUGUCCAGGUAUACCUUAGCAUUCACAUUGCAAUUAGUCUUUUUGUGAAAUAGUUAUUGAUUUCCUAUAUGCUAAUACUUUUGCUUUGAAAUAAAUUUUUUCAGCGUCUUGUCAACUUAAAACAUUUAAAUCUCAGUCACUCAGAGCAUCUAACCAAAAUCCCAGACCUUUCAUUGGCCACAAAUCUUGAGAGCCUGAAUUUCCGAGGCUGCACAAGUUUGCUCGAGACUCACUCUUCUAUUCAAUAUCUGAAUAAGCUUAUUGUCCUAAAUCUAGAACAUUGCAGAAGUUUAACGAGUCUUUCCACAAGUAUUCAUUUGGAAUCUCUUAAAAAGCUUAUUCUUUCUGGCUGCUCAAAUCUCAUGAGUUUUCCAGAGCUAUCUUGUAAUAUAGAGGAGUUAUCUUUAGAUGGAACUGCAAUCCAAGAACUUCCCUCAUCCAUUGAGCGCCUAUCCAGUUUAAUCUUAUUGAAUCUUGGAAAUUGCUUGAGGCUUGAAGGGCUCCCAAGAAAAAUAUGUAAGUUGAAAUCUCUCGAACGCCUUAAUCUCGCAGGUUGCUCGAAUCUGCAAAGGUUACCUAACGAACUUGGAAAUUUAGAAGCCUUGAAGGAGCUGAAAGCCGAAGGAAUUGCUAUAAGAGAAGUACCUUCAUCGAUUGUUUGUUUGAAAAUUCUGGGUAGAUUAUCCUUCGAGAGCUUCAAGGGUCAUGAGCAGAUGGGGCUCUUGUUGCCUAUUUCAUUUGGCUUGACCAGUCAAACAUAUCUAAAACUAGCUGAUUGCGGCAUCACAGAGUUACCUGAAUGUCUUGGCCAGUUGUUAUCACUAAGAAUUUUAUUUCUAGACAAAAACAAUUUUGAGAGAAUACCAGAAAGCAUCAUUUACCUGUUUCACUUGUAUUGGCUGAGGAUAAGCUAUUGUGAGAGGCUUAAAUCUUUACCAGAGCUUCCAUGUGAUCUAUGUGACAUUGAAGCCCAUGGUUGCUCAUCACUGGAAGCGUUAUCAGGUCUAUCAAUUCUCUUCACACAAACAUCUUGGAAUUCACAGUGUUUUAAUUUUGUUAAUUGUUUGAGAUUGGAUGAGAAUGAGCUCAAAGAAAUUAUCAAAGAUGCUCAACGGAAAAUGC
Molecule: long non-coding RNA, 1265 nt
Filed under: Citrus maxima (pomelo)
Lineage: Eukaryota; Viridiplantae; Streptophyta; Magnoliopsida; Sapindales; Rutaceae
Description: long non-coding RNA (CMAX_LNC000514)
Source: RNAcentral